This is a non-coding RNA of Tribolium castaneum (red flour beetle), 80 nucleotides long. The record is from RefSeq and is marked provisional. NCBI's taxonomy places the organism in Eukaryota, Metazoa, Arthropoda, Insecta, Coleoptera, Tenebrionidae.
GCCAAUUCGAGGCACAAGAGGAAAAAGAGCGCAAAAUACACAACUUUGGCGGAGCUCGAGCCACAAGUGCCCGGAAUAUU